RNAcentral lists this ribosomal RNA (986 nucleotides) under Microbacterium sp. KS1W. RNAcentral's name for it is "bacterial SSU rRNA". It matches the Rfam family "Bacterial small subunit ribosomal RNA", at positions 452 to 1432 of the family's 1533-position model. The record is from RNAcentral. Lineage: Bacteria; Bacillati; Actinomycetota; Actinomycetes; Micrococcales; Microbacteriaceae.
CGGCAGGGAAGAAGGGCCGGUGAUCAUACCCGCAGAAAAAGCUCCGCCUAACUAGGUGCCAGCAGCUGGGGUAAUAGGUAGGGCGCGAGCUUUGUCCGAAAUUAUUAGGCGUAAAGAGCCAUGUAGGCGGUUUGUAACGUUUUCCUGUGAAAAGACGAGGCUCAACCUAGGGCUAGCAAGGAGUAGGGGCAGAUUAGAGUGCGGAAGGGGGGAUCGGAAUUCGUGGAGUAGCGGGGAAUGCGCAGAUAUCAGGAGGAACACCGAUGGCGAAGGCAGAUCUCUGGGCCGCUACUGACGCUGAGGAGCGAAAGGGUGGGGAGCAAACAGGCUUAGAUACCCUGGUAGUCCACCCCGUAAACGUUGGGAACUAGAUGUGGGGGCCUUUCCACGGUCUCCGUGUCGCAGCUAACGCAUUAAGUUCCCCGCCUGGGGAGUACGGCCGCAAGGCUAAAACUCAAAGGAAUUGACGGGGGCCCGCACAAGCGGCGGAGCAUGCGGAUUAAUUCGAUGCAACGCGAAGAACCUUACCAAGGCUUGACAUAUAGAAGAACACUGUAGAGAUACAGGACUCUUUGGACACUUCUAUACAGGUGGUGCAUGGUUGUCGUCAGCUCGUGUCGUGAGAUGUUGGGUUAAGUCCCGCAACGAGCGCAACCCUCGUUCUAUGUUGCCAGCACGUUAUGGUGGGAACUCAUGGGAUACUGCCGGGGUCAACUCGGAGGAAGGUGGGGAUGACGUCAAAUCAUCAUGCCCCUUAUGUCUUGGGCUUCACGCAUGCUACAAUGGCCAGUACAAUGGGCGGCGAUACCGUGAGGUGGAGCGAAUCCCAAAAAGCUGGUCCCAGUUCGGAUCGUAGUCUGCAACUCGACUACGUGAAGUCGGAGUCGCUAGUAAUCGCAGAUCAGCAACGCUGCGGUGAAUACGUUCCCGGGUCUUGUACACACCGCCCGUCAAGUCAUGAAAGUCGGUAACACCCGAAGCCGGUG